GCCAGGCAUAGUGGCGCAUGCCUGUAAUCCCAGAUACUGGGGGGCUGAGGCAGGAGAAUCACUUGAACCUGGGAAGCGGAGGUUGCAGUGAGCCAGGAUUGUGCCACUGCACUCCAGCCUGGGCAACAGAGUGAGACUCUGUCUCAA
Molecule: unclassified non-coding RNA, 147 nt
Organism: Macaca fascicularis (crab-eating macaque)
Lineage: Eukaryota; Metazoa; Chordata; Mammalia; Primates; Cercopithecidae
Rfam family: Metazoan signal recognition particle RNA
About the family: The signal recognition particle (SRP) is a universally conserved ribonucleoprotein. It is involved in the co-translational targeting of proteins to membranes.
Source: Ensembl